Long non-coding RNA from Oxyura jamaicensis (ruddy duck), 8667 nucleotides. RefSeq lists it as uncharacterized. The record is from RefSeq and is a predicted model, not a curated record. Lineage: Eukaryota; Metazoa; Chordata; Aves; Anseriformes; Anatidae. The transcript has 2 exons.
UACCUCUUUGUAUUUCAGUCCCUUAACUUUUCUGUUUUCUUUUCUAGAUAGAUUCUGAGUCUGUAAUUUUUGUCCUGUAAGUAACAGUUGAUCACAGGAGAGAUGUUUCUAAGUCACAAGUCAGAAAUGUCUCUGUAAACAGGCUAAAAAUGCAUAAUGAAAUGAUUUAAUGAGUGCUGCAAUCUUGAAACAUAGUUUGCUCUUUUUAGAGAUCAUACCAUCUUCAGAAUGUGGAAGUUAAGAGGAUGUAUGACUCUGUAUAGAUUUGUGUGCCAUCUUUCCAAGCUUUAUUUUAGUAGCUGUGUCUAUGAGUAUACCUAGAAUAUUUGGAUCAGGGGAUAUAUUUUAAAGUGGUACACUUACCAACUGGAAAUGAUGUUAUCACCCUUGAAUAUUACAACUUUCCCUGACAUUUUUUGGUCCUUUUUUUUUUUGUCAUCUUGCAAGCUUUAGUUUACUACUGCGUAUGCUGAAUAAUAGAAUAAAUGAGUAAAAUUUUCAAAGAGAAAAUCUGCCAGCUCGUAGAGACACUAACUAAAUAGGUAGCCUUGAUCUGUUCAUUUCUAAAUGUGGGAAAAGUGGCAUAUAUGUAAUUGUUGAUGUCUGCAUGCCCCCAUCUUUCCAUGCAAGCUGGCUUCCUGUGGAUGUCAGCGGAAAGGAAACUGCUGAUUGAGUCUGUGCAGGCCUGUAUAAAUUCCCUCCUCCUUCAUGGCUUGAGGUUUGCUUAGGGCCUCAGGAAAAAGGCCAAACUCUUAAAAAACGCCAAGUUGGCUCUGGAACCUGCAUAUCUGAAAAACAAAAAACCCAAAGGAUGUGGGGUCUAUGGAGGAUACUACUGUUACAUAACUAAAUUACAGGUAAGUAUGGUACCUUACUGCCAAGUGUUUGUCUUUAAUAGAAAUCCACAGUAAUUUCAAGCACAUCAUAAAUCAGAAUUCCUUUGAGUAUAGAAAAUAGCUGGUUUCCAGUGCAAUUGCAAAUGGAUCCAGUAUGGCUGUAUCAUAAGUGCUUCUGUCAUAAGUACCAGAACCUCUCUCGUUUGAUCGUGGGACCCUCUGUCAUUUUGAUUAAUGAAUUGAUGCCACAGUCAUAAUAGUAUGGUUCUGCAUACGAGGUGAGCAGCUCUACCACAGAGGCAGCUGAGUGUAUAAAUAGUGGUAUUUUUAUGAAGAGCCCCAAAUUAGCUUAUGUUUGUCUUCGCUGUUAUGUAGUAAUACUGUUUUCUAAAUCCUAAAUGAAGCUCGAGAGUCAUUAUUAUAAGCAUUCAACAAAAUUCCACAGGCAUUAUAAAUAUGAUAAGAUAUUAUAGCUAACUUUUUGGAUCAUAUUUAGUGAAUUUCUGGAAAACAAUUUAUUCCCUGGUCACUCUCAGUAAAAACAAUGUCACCACCAAUGAAUGAAAAAUCUUGCAGUCCCUGGAGUUUUCCUCCUGAGUAGCUCCACUGAUGCACUGGAGUCAAUUUUGUAAUCAUUCAUCUCCAGCCAGAAAUAAGAUCGUAGACUGUGGAGCUUCAUUUAAAAGCAUCUUGUAAUUCAUAUUGCGUAGAUCUACAUAGGAACAGCGCUGAUAAAGUAUUUUUUUAUUGCAUCAUUGUAAUCUUUAAGAUUAGAGAGGGAUGAAGUCAUGCAUACACAGGUGGUGAGAUACAGAAGUAUCCUAGCUGCUAACUUUUGUUGAAAGAGGUCUUGCUUGUAACUUAGUGAAAACAGUUUCUGUGUAUUUUGACCUUCUUUCAUGUAUUUGAUUAUAUUUGAUGCAUUUUGGUAAAAUGUUAAUGAUUCUGAAACAUGUUGAUGGACCCAUUUGCAACAGUUGGACAAAUUGUACUGGGUUUUGCUUUAAACUGCGCACAGUGGACAGCUUUUCUUUACAAACAUCUCUUCUCCCAAGCAUUUCUAAGUAACUCGGGCUUUACCUAAUCACCGACAAAGAAAAUGUCCUUCACUUUAGUUGGAAAGUCGGUAUAUGUUGGCUGAUAUGAAUCAAAAUGAGCAAAUGAACUCAUAAAGUGCCUUAGCAGAUGUUUUUUGGUUUUUUUUUUUUGCAUAGCACAUGUUCUGAUGUAAGCCAGUUUUAACACCAUCUAAUGCAUUGCAUAUUAGAAACUUCUGGAACUGCACUGAGAAGCGGAUAAAACUGUAUCAUUUAACGAAUAUACGUUCUAGUGCUGGCACGAGCAGCUCCAGCAAACUAAUGGACUACUGUAUUGUGUCCUUGUCACAUGUGAGCAAUAACUGAAGGCCAGUCCCAGCUCUGUUCAUUGCAGGAAUACCAACCUGAAGCAGCAGGCUGAGAAGACUGCCGUAGGGCAGAUAUUAUGGAAAAGACAAAGCUGUUUAGAUAACCCAGAGAAGAAAGAAAGAUCAGGUAAAUAAUUUGUGAAAGUCAGGAGUCUGGGAACAACAAAGUGCAAAAAUUGCUCAGCAUUCCGUUCUGAGUUCAUUUAUCAAGAGCUGACAUUAUUCAUGACACUGCCUUCAUAUUUUUUUUUUUACCACUUACAUCACCUCUAGCUUCUCUGGGUUGAAUCUCACCUUUGUCUUUUUGCCACAUCUUAGCUGGAAAAGUGCUCAGCAGCUUUGCUUAAUGGUGUCAAUACAAAGGAAUAUGUGAUGAUGUUUUUAUCUCAUGAUGGUUCCCUGUAAUGUUGUGAAUCGAGGAUGCUGUUGGACAUGCUGUAGCUUCUGGAGCUUUGGGACCCACAAAUUACAUCUCCAAACCAGAAAGAUUUGCUACAUUUGAUACCAGCUUCUGAAAUGGAUAAAUAGAUUCUGGGCAGAUGGGAACACCACAAGAGGUUUAGUACAAAACUAGGUUCUUAUUGUUAGGCUGUGGUUGGCUUGUUAUUGUAGAAACAGAGGUUAUGACCUAGAUGAUGCCCUUUGAAACAGUUCCUUCAUAAACCGAAUGGAUCGAGAAGCUUGAUUUCACCAUUGUGUGCUGUUUGCAAGUUACAAUCCCUUCCCCGGUGAUGGCUGAUGUAUCUGAUAUUCUGCAGGAGCAGUAGCAGGGGUUUUGGUUUUCCCAGCCCUGGUGUGUAGGGCUUCUGUUAAGCUAUGUAUGUCUCCUGUGAAGUGAUUUGAGUAGAUAUGAAUCCCCCCUUAGAAGAGAUUACAGGGGAUUAAAGAAGUUAGCAACACGGGCAAAAUAAUUGCUAGUCCUUUCUUAAUGUGUUUCCCGCUGUGAGCUAAUUCUUCCAUCAAUGAGACAAUAAAAUAGCGAAGAUUACAUACGUGCUGAAUGAUGGCCAUCCUUGACCAAGCUGGGAGGGACGUAAUUUAUACAACAGCGCAAGUGCUGAGAGAUGCUGACUGCCCAGGUGACAGGCUGCAGCGGGGAAAGGCUUCUUGUUUCCCUCUGCACGGCUCCCCAGAGCUCGGUGACAAAUGGCUGCGCUGAGUUUACGUGGCUGGAGAAAACUUACUCAUCGAGCUGAAAUUAUAGGGCACGCGAAAACUCCGUCCGUCUGAAUGCUCCCGUGGUAGCUGUGCACGUCCUCAGUCUGGGUUGUAUUUGGGGCUGACCCUUUUGUUUGUUCCGUGGGUUAGGUGUGGAGCCGGGCAGCAGGGCCCCCCAGUCCCCAGGUCUUUGAUGUAGGGGUGCUCUCCUUCCAGCCCGCUCGCCUCCCGAGGAGCACGCUGCAACACUGGCAGCCUGCGGACUUGGCAGGCCAAGGAGGUGGCACCGAGCACCGUGAGCUGUGAGAAGUGCAGGGGGUGGUGUGAAUACUGGGUGCUAGGGAAAGUUAGACCAGUCUCACUGGGAAAUGGGGUAAACCUUUGGGAGCUCUGAUACCUAGGCAGAAAGGCUGGAUAAAAAUGUGCAUGGAGGACUCAAGCACCCACAUUUGUGGGGACUGACACCAAUUACCGUGAUGUUGGCUGAAACUAGCGUCUAACUUGUUCAGUCACACCAAGACAGUAAGUUAUGGGUUGGGUUGUGUUCAUCACGCUCUGGCUACUUGCGUUGAAGUGGGUGGCGCAGACGCUGUAGCGUUACUCGGUGAGUGGACUGGAGCGAGACCACGUGCGACUAGUUAACCGCCGCUCUCGUUUACCACAUGUCUCCAAUUUAUUGCUACUUUUUUUUGAGAAAAUGUACAAAGGAAGAAAACAACAAGCAAGCUGAGCUGGAUUGACUACUAACUGCAGAUUGAUUGUGAAGUUUAUUGGUUGUUUCCUCAAUAGUGCCAAAUCAGCACCUGAUGUAGAAGCAGUGAGCGGUUUGAAGAAAGUUGUAAUUAAAACCAGGAUGGAAUCGAGCAUUUAUAGGGGUUCAGCACAUAAGUGGUCUUUUUCCCGUUGGAUAAUAGCAGUACAAAGGAAAGAUCCUACUGCCAAAGCAACAUUUUGUUGAAAUUGUAAAAUAUAUUUUACAGCGCAUUCCCUCAUGAGAAAGAAUGAGGAGAUGAAGUCGUUUCCAGCACCAUAGCUUGCAAAGCUGGGAAUAAAGUUGUGCUUAUGCAGGGAUUCCCAGACUUUUUGUAUCCUGAGCUGUUGUCUUCUGGAUGCUUGGUCUCACAAUACCAAUUGCACCCCAGCCCUAUGCUAACCUUGGAAAGAACAAGUCUAGAAUAGGUUUUGCAGAAGGCACAUGAAAAGUGAGUACUUAAUUCAGAAAAAGCACAUGCUCAGCUUAAAUAUGGAUAAAGUUUAUAUAUAAAUAUAAAAUAUAUCAUGGAUGUAGAUAGAUAUGAAUAUAUGAAUAAAGCUACAUACAGUGCUUGCCUGUAAAAAGGCCUCUUAUUUCUCUUGGUUAUGUAGCAGUUAUGUUCUGUCCUUUCUCUCCCACCGUUUGGUUUUAUAUUGUGGACUCUUUUGGUCAGGAACCAUAAUUUUAAUCCUCCUAUUUAAUUCAGUGCACACGCUUCUAAGAUACUGAAUAGAGACAACCUCAGGUCAAGAGUUUGCUUUCAGGAAAGUAAAUUGAAGAGAGGACAAACUAGGCGAGCAGUGAGCGGAAAGCAGUUAGGCUCCUUGCAGAGCCAGUUUUCAGUUGCUUUCAACAGAAGUUGAAUUCUGCUGUAUUGUGUUUAGGAUAUUUCUCAUAUACUACCUGUUAUCUUGAGAAUCUCUGAACCAUUAUUACUAUCAACUCCUCAAAAAACAUUUUCUUCUGGCUAGCUUCCUGGUACAUCAAUCUAUCUCAAAUAAAUCACCUGUUCUUUAAACUCAGAUACAGAUGUUUCCCUGAUAGCGCAGGGAGCUCUUCCCCAUUUUACAAACAUCUUGUACGCCAAAUGUUGAACUUAAAGCACAGGUCAGCUCUGAAAAGUGGCAUUUUAAAACAGCUCCUCUCGUUCUGCUGAUCUUCUUCUUCAGGUGGCCAGAGUUAUGUCUGACUUCAGAGCUAUAAAUAAGCUUCUGCCUCCUGCUAGCCACAUGGCUCUAAUUGAAGAGGGGUAUGCGCGUUCUCAGAGCAUCUGAUUGCUCUCGGGUUUUGGUGGGAAUCUUUGUGUAAGUGCCAUCAGUGCUGUUGAAAAUUUUCCCACCCUGGGUAUGGAAAAGGAAGAAAUUCUCCCAGUGCCAGAUUUUUUCCUCUGAGUUCCUGAGGGGACUGUGGAGUUGAACAAGUUCAACUUAGCUCCAGGAAAGCCGUCUCUGUUUUUAAGGGUAACAUUUAGAAAGUCCUCUUUCACUUGUAAACCUAGCCCGUAUGAUAUGGAAGUUGAUUUAACCAAUUAUGUCCUAUGGAGGGCUACAGUGCUCAGUCCCAAAUUGCCCUUGAAAACCCCAGGGAAAACAAGUGUCAGUUAUCCCUGUCAGUCUGACUGGGCCAGCUGGUGAGCAAGCAAAGCAAACUCAGCGAUGGGAGUGAAGAUACGGCUUUUCUGCUCUGUUACCUUAAAAUAGACAUAGAUAGCUUUUCCUGGGCAUCAGCUGUGCGUGUGUAAAGCCAUGCAGGAUGUGGCCCUUCCACUCUGUCAGAGAGAAUCCAGAGGGAGGUCAGUUUUCCUGCGUAGGGUUUCCUGGUGUGAAACUGGUUGCAGCGUGUGCUUUUGCUGAAGUGUGCAAAACCAGGCUUCCAGCUACAUAAAAGGCCACCAAUUUGUUCGUUCUGAGAUCAGCUGGAUUUAUCUGAAGUUUCAGAGGUGAGGCACAACCUUCCAGGCGACCUCCCCCAGCAGCCUAAGUUUCACUUAAUAAAACAAGUUCAGGUAGGUUUGAGGCAUCCCUUUAAGGUCAGUUGAACUUUCACUGGAAAAUACGAGUGCUGGCAAGUAUACGCAAUAUGUAAUGCAAAAUGUUUAGGGUGUGGGGAAGAAGUGUAAAGGAGCCAUACCACAGUGAUGAGCUUGGCUACAAAAGAGACAUAAAACAAGUUCCUUAGUGAAAACACCCUCAGAGACGGGUUAAGAAUUUAGGGGGUUGGUAGAAUGUUUUUGUUACCCCCAAGGGGAAAAACAGGAGAUCAAAGCCCGAAUUCACUUAAGAAUGCUUUCUUUGAAAUGUAUCUAUAAAUUAUAGCACGUACUGCUGGCAUCUAUUGUAGUCUUUGGUAUUUGCUUGAGUGUAUAACGUGAGAUCUGCAGUACCCUGAGUUGGCUCCUGAGUGUGUAAAACUGAAUGUUGGUGAAAGCAACAUUUGGGUUCUCAGGUUCCCUAAUGCUGCUUUUGCCUCUUCCCUGCUUCCUUGUGCUUGUCCCUGUGACUGCGUGUCCCAGCCACUGACACACAGGCUGAAGGGGGGUUCCUUGAGGGGUUGCUGGUAGGUCUGAGAGCUCUCCGCCACCUCUCCCACCAUUAAGGUGCCUGCCGUGGCUGUUAUCUCCUUGGUCAAGGCAGAACGGGAUGUUGCUCCCAGGGGAAUCCACAGCUGUUACCCCUAUGUCAGCAAAGUAGCUGCCGAGGCAUGUCACCCUUGGCUUCUAACUCCCAAAUCAGCCUCUCUGCUUCCUAGCUCAUCCGGAGGAGUGAGAGCCCUGACGUCUUGGCACGGCGGAGCGUUGCCCACAGGCCGUCUGUAGCGUUACGCUUCGAGCUCUUUCUUCAGCUGGAGUCUGUAGUUUUAAACGUUGCAUUUUAGACACCUCAUUUGCUUUGCUUCCCAACGGAGGUCACGUCGGCUUUUUGGCACAAUUGGAUUAAACCAGCAGACCUGGAUAGCUUCCAUUGGCGUUUCAGGAGCUUUGCUGUAAGGCAGACCUGUGACAUUCAUACCUUCCUAAGCCUGCACAACGCGGGCGAGAGCUGCAGUUGAGGUCUUGACCUCGGUUACUUAAGCCCCUUUCUCCCAGGAGCGUUCAUCACUUUAAUCACAGAGUCCUAAAUAAUCAGCGGGUAGCCUGUAAUUAGGGGGUUGUGUCUUGGACUCCUGCAGCCUGCUCCCGGUGUGCUGAGCGCGGCGUAUUUUGAUUUCCCAUUCCCCCAAAGGACGUUUGAUCUCAGAUUUACACUUUGGAAAAUUACGAAGGGUACAGCACCUCAGUCCCCUGGCAGCCUUCCUGCUUUCGGUGAUGUAAUCGACCACCCUGUCCUUUGGUUUAAAGCUAUGUGGCUUUGCCACAAAUAGAGGGAGGGGAAAGCGAGCCGAGGCCAGGAAUCGCCGCGCUAUAAAAGCUCCAUAUUGUGUGCUCUUGGACUUUGCUUUCUCCCGGCUUCCUUCGAGCCCACACAAGAGAUGGACUUGAGGUUUUUUUGGCUUUCUUCCCCUCCCCCCCUCCCUCCAUACAUACGCUGACCUUUUGGAAAAAUAAAUAAAAGAUAAAGCCGGACCUGGAAUGUUGCAGAAUGUGUGUACAUUUUGCUCUCUGUUGUUUUCUGCUGGGAUUAGUUGUUUACAAUGGGGGGGAGAGGGAGGGCAGAGGAAGGGAGGUCUGUGGCCUUAGCUGAAAUUAGUGGCAUUUCAGAGUGAUCUUGUUAGGUGGUCUGCAGUUUAAAGACCUAAAUCCUUGUAAUCCCCCCAUGCCUCCUUGGCCACUACUCCUUUUGCUCUUGUUCUCUCACUUUCGGGAAAAAACAAAAGAAGCCAGAGCCAGCCUCGCUGUCUCAGAUGGAGGCGUGUAACGUACCCACACGCACGCGUGCACGGCCGUGCGCACACUCACUCUCCUGUGCUUUCCUUCGCACAUCGUACCUGUGGAAGAAAUUAAUGCCUUAGCUCGCCGACAUCUCCAUCUGUUACCACUACAGGACCGGGCUUGUAAAAAUGCUCUCUCUAGAAUGCAGCCGCGCACUGAAUAUUUUUAUUUAUUUUCCGCAAAAACCCUCGGCUGCCAGACUCGCAGUUUGUGAUUGCACUUAAAACAAAUUCAAAUUGAAAUUUCAGCCGUAAAUCAAAUGCCCCAAAUUAGUUCCUCUUGUGGGUUUGAACAUGCUCUUUGGAUUUUAAGGUCAGGAGAUAUCCGUUUUCACAGUGCUGAAAAGUUUAAAAAUAUACUACAUUUUAAGGGCACAAAAAUAAAUAUGGUUUGCAUUAUAAAGCUUUACAUCAAAUAUGUGCAUAUGCACACACACACAACAACUUCGAUGAAGCCGAAUGCUGUCGGAGCACCUUUGAGGACUAAUGGCGCCUAAUUGUUAAGCAGGGCAGGAAACCCGGUGGCUAUUUAUCCGAGGAAAAUACAGCACAUUGCCCCGAGAUGUGAUAUUUACCCGGUAAGAGAAUAAAAGUUUAUUCCUUACUCUUCAAUUUAAAAAAAAAAUAGUAAAAAUUAAAUAAACACA